RNAcentral lists this long non-coding RNA (364 nucleotides) under Trifolium pratense (red clover). Its description in RNAcentral is "long non-coding RNA (TPRA_LNC009965)". The record is from RNAcentral. Lineage: Eukaryota; Viridiplantae; Streptophyta; Magnoliopsida; Fabales; Fabaceae.
GCUUAAGUUUCACACUUAAGCACACAAGCUUAAGUUUCCUCAAGUAAAUAGUAAAGUAUAUAAAAAUAUACAAAUGCUCUUAGAUGAACCUAAAUAGAGCAAAUACAAAUAUUACAGAGUAUUUGGCUAAAGUGCAAAAACACUUGAGAAAGGUUCAGAGCUUGUAUAUUACAGAGUUCAGAGUUUGUUCAGCGCACGUUCUAUUCUUGAUAAUUGUAUCUUUUAGUUGCAGCUGAUCCUUCUAGUAUAUAUACCACUAGAAAAGAGUCGUUGCAAAAGGAGCCGUUGGAGUUGAUAACCUUUUGUCUUCAAGCAGUCUGUCUUGAUGCAGUUUGGUUGUAUCCAAAACUAAGAAAGAGUUUCA